RNAcentral lists this small RNA (132 nucleotides) under Camellia sinensis. RNAcentral describes it as "precursor microRNA miR156g". The stretch from base 18 to 104 matches the Rfam family "mir-156 microRNA precursor family". Rfam says of the family: This family represents the plant microRNA (miRNA) precursor mir-156. Animal miRNAs are transcribed as ~70nt precursors and subsequently processed by the Dicer enzyme to give a ~22nt product. In plants the precursor sequences may be longer, and the carpel factory (caf) enzyme appears to be involved in processing. Lineage: Eukaryota; Viridiplantae; Streptophyta; Magnoliopsida; Ericales; Theaceae. The record is from RNAcentral.
UUUGAAGGGUAAGAGAGGUGACAGAAGAGAGUGAGCACACAUGGUCUUUUCUUGCAUGACUUCUCCAUGCUCGAAGCUAUGCGUGCUCACUCUCUAUCUGUCAUCCACCAACCAUUCUCUCUUCCUCUCUCU